This 488-nucleotide ribosomal RNA is filed under the name uncultured bacterium. RNAcentral's name for it is "bacterial SSU rRNA". It matches the Rfam family "Bacterial small subunit ribosomal RNA", at positions 30 to 512 of the family's 1533-position model. The record is from RNAcentral.
AUUGAACGCUGGCGGCAUGCCUUACACAUGCAAGUCGAACGGCAGCACGGGAGCAAUCCUGGUGGCGAGUGGCGAACGGGUGAGUAAUAUAUCGGAACGUGCCCAGUCGUGGGGAUAACGUAGCGAAAGUUACGCUAAUACCGCAUACGAUCUAAGGAUGAAAGCGGGGGAUCGCAAGACCUCGCGCGAUUGGAGCGGCCGAUAUCAGAUUAGGUAGUUGGUGAGGUAAAGGCUCACCAAGCCAACGAUCUGUAGCUGGUCUGAGAGGACGACCAGCCACACUGGAACUGAGACACGGUCCAGACUCCUACGGGAGGCAGCAGUGGGGGAAUUUUGGACAAUGGACGCAAGUCUGAUCCAGCCAUUCCGCGUGCAGGAUGAAGGCCCUCGGGUUGUAAACUGCUUUUGUACGGAACGAAAGGUUUCUAUUAAUACUAGGAGCUCAUGACGGUACCGUAAGAAUAAGCACCGGCUAACUACGUGCCAGC